UGGGGAAUAUUGCGCAAUGGGCGAAAGCCUGACGCAGCGACGCCGUGUGGGUGAUGAAGGCCUUCGGGUCGUAAAGCCCUUUCGAGGGGAAAGAAAAAGUUGGGUUCAAAUAGGACUCAGCCCUGACGGUACCCCUAUAAGAAGCACCGGCUAACUCCGUGCCAGCAGCCGCGGUAAUACGGAGGGUGCGAGCGUUAAUCGGAAUUACUGGGCGUAAAGCGCACGUAGGUGGCGACGUAAGUCGGGUGUGAAAGCCCCGGGCUCAACCUGGGAAUUGCAUUCGAGACUGCAUUGCUGGAGUACGGAAGAGGAGGGCGGAAUUCCCGGUGUAGCGGUGAAAUGCGUAGAUAUCGGGAGGAACAUCAGUGGCGAAGGCGGCCCUCUGGUCCAGUACUGACACUCAAGUGCGAAAGCGUGGGGAGCAAACAGGAUUAGAUACCCUUGUAGUCCCUGAGCGGGCUGGCAAGGCGCAU
This 473-nucleotide ribosomal RNA is filed under the name uncultured bacterium. RNAcentral's name for it is "bacterial SSU rRNA". It matches the Rfam family "Bacterial small subunit ribosomal RNA", at positions 355 to 825 of the family's 1533-position model. The record is from RNAcentral.